AUUGAACGCUGGCGGCAGGCCUAACACAUGCAAGUCGAACGAGUGGCAGACGGGUGAGUAAUGUCUGGGAAACUGCGCGAUGGUGGGGGAUAACUUAUGGACACGGUCGCUAAUACCGCAUACCAUCGGAUGUGCCCAGAUGGGAGUAGCUAGUAGGUGGGGUAACGGCUCACAUAGGCGACGAUCCCUAGCUGGUCUGAGAGGAUGACCAGUCACACGGGAACUGAGACACUGUCCGGACUCCUACGGUAUGCAGCAGUGUGGAAUAUUGCACAAUGGGCGCAAGCCUGAUGCAGCCAUGCCGCGUGUAUGAAGAAGGCAUUCGGGUUGUAAAGUACUUUCAGCGAGGAGGCGUUACUCGCAGAAGAAGUACCGGCUAACUCCGUGCCAGCAGCCGCGGUAAUAC
This 406-nucleotide ribosomal RNA is filed under the name uncultured bacterium. RNAcentral describes it as "partial 16S ribosomal RNA". It matches the Rfam family "Bacterial small subunit ribosomal RNA", at positions 30 to 526 of the family's 1533-position model. The record is from RNAcentral.